RNAcentral lists this ribosomal RNA (125 nucleotides) under Agaricomycetes sp. RNAcentral's name for it is "partial small subunit ribosomal RNA". It matches the Rfam family "Eukaryotic small subunit ribosomal RNA", at positions 1657 to 1779 of the family's 1831-position model. Lineage: Eukaryota; Fungi; Basidiomycota; Agaricomycetes. The record is from RNAcentral.
CCUUUGUACACACCGCCCGUCGCUACUACCGAUUGAAUGGCUUAGUGAGGCCUCCGGAUUGGCUUUGGGGAGCCGGCAACGGCACCCUAUCGCCGAGAAGCUGGUCAAACUUGGUCAUUUAGAGG